RNAcentral lists this transfer RNA (65 nucleotides) under Dipodomys ordii (Ord's kangaroo rat). It matches the Rfam family "tRNA". Rfam says of the family: Transfer RNA (tRNA) molecules are approximately 80 nucleotides in length. Their secondary structure includes four short double-helical elements and three loops (D, anti-codon, and T loops). Lineage: Eukaryota; Metazoa; Chordata; Mammalia; Rodentia; Heteromyidae. The record is from Rfam by way of RNAcentral.
GGUGGCUCAGUGGUAGAGUGCUUGCCUUGCGUGCAUGGGGCCCUGGGUUCGAUUCCUCAGCACCA